CAGAAGCCUCCUCUCAGUCUCGCCCUGCCCUGGAUUUAGAGUCAUGCCCUGACUGUAAAGUGCGAGAUGUUCUUUGAUGUCUCUUCAGCAGUGCACGGCUCCUCUUCGCUGCUCCUCGCCAUCAUCUGCAGCAAUUUCCUAGAGCCAGAGGAGGGAUGUGUUUGGAGCAGGCCCCUUGCUGACAAGGUGUGAACAGAUUGAUGGCCGUCCCGUCCCACCUGGCGGCACAGGAAUACACGCAGCCUGAGCGGGCUGCCGGGAAUCCCCCUCCCAACCUGAGCCCUGCAGAAACAGGUUUUGGCUUUGAAUGAGAGCAGAGGUCACAUUCAGAAAGAGAGAAGGGUGUGUACAUGUGUGUAAGCGUGGUGGGAGCUCAGAAGAAUGUAAGUUUGGGAUCUGAAAGCAUCGCACUCCUGAACUAUGAUUAUUUAUUAUGCUGAUAGUGCCUAGAGGGCCCAGCCUCAUUGUGCUAAGGACUUCACAGGCACAGAAUGAAGAGACAGUCCCUGCCUGGAAGACGGAUGAGGAAAACCUACCUACAGGGGCUGGGAACAGGUGUGGCAUCUAUCCAUCACGCUGAUGGAGUGUGUUUGCAAGAUGGGUAUGUGAGCGUGUGCGAGUGUAGGGGAGACAGCAGGAGAAGGAGAAAGUUGGAUGGUGAUUUUAAUCUCUCUGGCUCUAAAGAAGGGUUUUAUUUUUUCUUUUAACCUCACCUUUCUUCUCCAGUAGUGAUUAUCCACAGGUGACACGGGAGAAAUAGGAAAACAGGAGGGCUGAACACUGCUGUUUCCCUGCAUCUCCAGCCAGCAGCGGCUGUGGGCUUCUUCUGAGCUCGUGGACUUCCUCCUCCAAGGCACUUCCAGCAGCAGUUACCUAGAGGAAAGCACAAGGGCAGACUGAGCGUGCUUUUCCAAUGGCUUCCAGUUAUGCCAAACAGCAGAAAGCCUGGAGAAGACAUCUGAAGGCUGGGCUUGGGGUGAAGAGGCAUUGCAUGAGGACAGGACAUUCCACGCCUGGCUGCUGAAUGGCUGUAGGAAGCAGUUUCUUCGGAUAGUUUUACAGCAUGCUGGUGGCCAGCAGGAUUGUUUGAAGGAGGAGAAACCUGCUUCAUGCAUCCCAUGUCCCUGCAUCUUCUGGAAGCUGGACAGGUUCCGCAGCUCUCGAGGCCCUCUCCAAGCAGGAGUCCUGGGCUGAUGGAAGUGGGCAGUGUCUUCUCCAGAAGCACCCAGCCAGGAGCCAGCUAACAAAAGAAAUCCAGAGAAGAGCAAAAAGCGUUGUGUUUAUGAAGAACAAUUGAACAGGCCAGACAUCUCCAGCCUGUGAGGGAUACAGCAGAGGUCUAUAAAAUCAUGAGUGGCCUGGAAAAAAAUGAAUUGAUUGCUGCUCUUACCUGUUUCCAGAAAAAGCACUUUCAGAAGAAACCAAAGGUGAAAAUGUCUUGUCACCUGGGCAAAGGAACUAACGUGAAAGAGCAAUCUCAGCUCCAGGAGCUCGUGUUCAAGAAGUGAAACGGAGCCAACAUCUGAUUAAGGCAGAUUCGGUCAGGUCAGGGAAAUGAGCUUCCCCAGGGACUUUCUACUGCUGCUGAAAGAGCUCAAGGUUUAAGACUCCUAUCUGCCCCACAGAAACAGAAAUGAUGGGAAUGUGGUUGCCACAGAUGAGGUAACAACAGCAAGCUGAAGUGGCUUUGAUUUAUUUUUUUUAUUCUUCUCAGUACAAGGGACAGCAGCAUAGGAGUACAUGCGAUAGUGGUGGUUGACCAGAGGUUUGUGCAGCGGUGACCUGAGAAAGCAUACUGAUACGAAUCAUAUGUGCAUGGAUGUGUACUUACAUACAUGUUUUUUUUAGCUACCUGUGGCUCAGUUUCAGAGAAGCUCAGCUCUGGUUCCCAUUACAGAUUUACUCAAGUGAAAAUUUGUUGGAAUGGAAAAAGAUUGGUAAUAACUAAAAAUAGCAGUUGACCUCUACUAUGUGUUUCCACCUAUGUUUACUUUUAAGACAGCGAUAAUGAUUAUUUGUGGAAUAUCUUCAAAUAAACAAGAAAGUGGGC
RNAcentral lists this long non-coding RNA (2050 nucleotides) under Gallus gallus (chicken). Lineage: Eukaryota; Metazoa; Chordata; Aves; Galliformes; Phasianidae. The record is from RNAcentral.